AUUGAACGCUGGCGGCAGGCCUAACACAUGCAAGUCGAGCGGAGCGGCGGACGGGUGAGUAAUGCCUAGGAAUCUGCCUGGUAGAGGGGGAUAACGUCCGGACACGGGCGCUAAUACCGCAUACUCUAAGAUGAGCCUAGGUCGGAUUAGCUAGUUGGUGGGGUAAAGGCCUACCAAGGCGACGAUCCGUCACUGGGCUGAGAGGAUGAUCAGUCACACUGGAACUGUGACACGGUCCAGCUUCCUACGGGCGGCAGCAGUGGGGAAGAUUGGGCAAUGGGCGAAAGCCUGUGCCAGCCAUGCCGCGUGUGUGAAGAAGGUCUUCGGAUUGUAAAGCACUUUAAGUUGGGAGGCGUUACCAACAGAAUAAGCACCGGCUAACUUCGUGCCAGCCGCCGCGGUAAUAC
Molecule: ribosomal RNA, 407 nt
Filed under: uncultured bacterium
Lineage: Bacteria
Description: partial 16S ribosomal RNA
Rfam family: Bacterial small subunit ribosomal RNA
Source: RNAcentral